This 375-nucleotide long non-coding RNA is filed under the name Homo sapiens (human). RNAcentral's name for it is "non-protein coding lnc-BBOX1-9:2". The record is from RNAcentral. Lineage: Eukaryota; Metazoa; Chordata; Mammalia; Primates; Hominidae.
AUGCCACCCAAGGAUGACAAGAAGAAGGAUGCUGGAAAGUCGGCCAAGAAAGACAAAGACCCAGUUAACAAAUCCGGGGGCAAGGCCAAAAAGAAGAAGUGGUCCAAAGGCAAAGUUCGGGACAAGCUCAAUAACUUAGUCUUGUUUGACAAAGCUACCUAUGACAAACUCUGUAAGGAAGUUCCCAAUUAUAAACUUAUAACCCCAGCUGUGGUCUCUGAGAGACUGAAGAUUCGAGGCUCCCUGGCCAGGGCAGCCCUUCAGGAGCUCCUUAGUAAAGGACUUAUCAAACUGGUUUCAAAGCACAGAGCUAAAGUAAUUUACACCAGAAAUACCAAGGGCGGAGAUGCUGCAGCUGCUGGUGAAGAUGCAUGA